This 261-nucleotide long non-coding RNA is filed under the name Lathyrus oleraceus (garden pea). Its description in RNAcentral is "Pisum sativum (pea) long non-coding RNA (PSAT_LNC011915)". Lineage: Eukaryota; Viridiplantae; Streptophyta; Magnoliopsida; Fabales; Fabaceae. The record is from RNAcentral.
CACACAAACAAACAACAAUAGGAUACGGACUGCCAAUCGCUGGUCUUACAUCCAUAUCCUAACACACACAAGAAGGUUAACAAACAAACAAGUUAAUAGGGAGUCAGGAACUCGAGCCUAAUAACUGUCAAGCAAACACACUCAAAAAGAAAAAAGGGUGCCCGGAGAGACCUCGUACGAUCUCCUGCCUACGUACCUCAUCUGGUAUGAGGAUCAGGGCAACGUAGUUCUCCUUAACAAGGGAGAAACUUUCUCCUAACC